AGGGGGGGAAGACUGUCGCUGGCAGAUCUGUUCUGCAUGUGCACGUCGACCCCUCUUUCUUGUCCACACCCACACACCUGUGCACCCCUUGUAGGUUCCCUUGUGAGAGGGAACCUAUGUCAUUUUCUCAUCACACCUGUCCAUAGAAUGUAUUGAGAACGUCGAUCAACUCCGGUUGGUGGGCGGUCGAUAAAUAAAAUACAACUUUCAGCAACGGAUCUCUUGGCUCUCGCAUCGAUGAAGAACGCAGCGAAUUGCGAUAAGUAAUGUGAAUUGCAGAUUUUCAGUGAAUCAUCGAAUCUUUGAACGCACCUUGCGCUCCUUGGUAUUCCGAGGAGCAUGCCUGUUUGAGUGUCAUCGAAUUCUCAACCAUGUCUUGAUUGACUUGACUUGGCUUGGAGUUGGGAGGAUUUUGCUGGCUGUCGAAAGAUGGUCAGCUCUCCUGAAAAACAUUAGCGAUGGGGCGGUCGAGUCUCUCGACGUGCACGGCCUUUGACGUGAUAAUGAUCGUUGGGGCUGGAGCAUUUUGGAGAUGAGGCGACUCAAUGCUUCCAAAUCGAUAGGACGAGCUUUGGUCCGAUCUACUAGUCAGACCGAAGCAAGUGCUUUCGUUUCGAAACUUGACCUCAAAUCAGGUAGGACUACCCGCUGAACUUAAGCAUAUCAAUAAGCGGAGGA
This 678-nucleotide unclassified non-coding RNA is filed under the name Costatisporus cyanescens. Its description in RNAcentral is "partial contains ITS1, 5.8S rRNA and ITS2". The stretch from base 203 to 357 matches the Rfam family "5.8S ribosomal RNA". The record is from RNAcentral. Lineage: Eukaryota; Fungi; Basidiomycota; Agaricomycetes; Boletales; Boletaceae.